AUACGUAGGGGACGAGCGUUGUCCGGAAUUACUGGGCGUAAAGGGCGCGCAGGCGGAUAUUUAAGUCAGCUGUAAAAGGCAUGAGCUCAACUCAUGUAUGCGGUUGAAACUGGGUAUCUAGAGUGCUGGAGAGGUAGGCGGAAUUCCCGGGGUAGCGGUGAAAUGCGUAGAUAUCGGGAAGAACACCAGUGGCGAAGGCGGCUUACUGGCCAGCAACUGACGCUGAGGCGCGAAAGCCAGGGGAGCGAACGGGAUUAGAUACCCCGGUAGUCCUGGCCGUAAACGAUGAAUGCUAGGUGUGGGUGUCGAGAGGCAUCCGUGCCGGAGUUAACGCGAUAAGCAUUCCGCCUGGGGAGUACGAUCGCAAGAUUGAAACUCAAAGGAAUUGACGG
This 392-nucleotide ribosomal RNA is filed under the name uncultured bacterium. Its description in RNAcentral is "partial 16S ribosomal RNA". It matches the Rfam family "Bacterial small subunit ribosomal RNA", at positions 523 to 916 of the family's 1533-position model. The record is from RNAcentral.